This 409-nucleotide ribosomal RNA is filed under the name uncultured bacterium. Its description in RNAcentral is "bacterial SSU rRNA". It matches the Rfam family "Bacterial small subunit ribosomal RNA", at positions 509 to 916 of the family's 1533-position model. The record is from RNAcentral.
CAGCAGCCGCGGUAAUACGAAGGGGGCUAGCGUUGCUCGGAAUUACUGGGCGUAAAGGGAGCGUAGGCGGAUAGUUUAGUCAGAGGUGAAAGCCCAGGGCUCAACCUUGGAAUUGCGCUCGAAACUACUUGGCUGGAGUGUGGCAGAGGAAGGUGGAAUUCCACGUGUAGCGGUGAAAUGCGUAGAGAUGUGGAGGAACACCAAUGGCGAAGGCAGCCUUCUGGGCCAACACUGACGCUCAUGCACGAAAGCGUGGGGAGCAAACAGGAUUAGAUACCCUGGUAGUCCACGCCCUAAACGAUGACGACUAGUUGUUGGGGGAGUUAAAUCCCUUAGUAACGCAGCUAACGCGUGAAGUCGUCCGCCUGGGGAGUACGGUCGCAAGAUUAAAACUCAAAGGAAUUGACGG